RNAcentral lists this long non-coding RNA (538 nucleotides) under Gossypium barbadense (sea-island cotton). RNAcentral's name for it is "long non-coding RNA (GBAR_LNC001287)". The record is from RNAcentral. Lineage: Eukaryota; Viridiplantae; Streptophyta; Magnoliopsida; Malvales; Malvaceae.
AACCCCAACCCAGUUUAGAAUUAUCAAUUUUUAUCUUUCUCUUCCUCUCUUCUUUUUAUAUAUAUAUUUUUUCUAAUAUUCCCACUUCUUUCUUUACUUUUUGUUGAUUUGUUCUAUCAUAUCCCUAUUUACUCUUUUCUUUUUAUCUCCAUUUCUUUUAAUUUUUAAUUUUUAAUUUCUUUUUUCCAUUUCUCUUCCCCUCUCCCUUAUUUUUGAGUCACUCUCUCGUUAUCCAAUCAGUCUUCCAUUGAGAGUUUGCUUCAAGAAGAAAAAAAUGAUGGUCUCUUGGGUUGAAAAGGGAAAGGAUAACAAUAAUCUAAGAAAAUAGGAGAAAGAGAAAUGAAGGAUCACUACUUAUUUUGGGUUAGGUAUUAAAUUUUUUUCUUUGGGUUGGUUGGUUGGUCGAUAAAAAUUGGAGCAAAAAUCAUAUAAACCCCUUUACCGUUGUAUACGUUUCAGGGUUAGCAAUUCAAUAGCGGUUCUCCGAAUCAGUGUACUGGCUAGUUCCUGAGUUGACCAGUGGCUCUGCAUUUAGACC